This is an unclassified non-coding RNA of Lingula anatina, 3055 nucleotides long. NCBI's taxonomy places the organism in Eukaryota, Metazoa, Brachiopoda, Lingulata, Lingulida, Lingulidae. The record is from RefSeq and is a predicted model, not a curated record.
UACAGUGUUGAUAAAAAUGGCGGAUCUGUCUGGCACGGACGAUACAAGUUUGGAUUUAAAUACGACCCAAGAGUCACAAGAUGAACAGCCCAGUCAAAAUGGAGACCAACCCAAAGAGAGGAAAAGAUCAAGAUCUCCUGUAGACCGUGAUAAGAAAAGAGAAAGAUCAAGCUCAGGUACACGUGAGCCAAAGUCGCGGCGAAGGAGUAGAGCUGGUGCAGGUGGAAAGGAAGACAAGAGAGUUCUUAUCACAAACAUUCCAUUUGAACUGACUUGGCAGAAGUUGAAAGAUCUUAUUCGGGAGAAGUUGGGAGAUAGUGCUGUGAAAAGAGUAGAGAUUUUCUCAGAUGAAAAUGGGAAGUCCAAGGGAGCUGGGCUGGCAGAUAUGCGUGACUAUGACAUGGCCACGAAAGCUAUUGAGGUGUUAAACAAGCAUGUUGUUAGUGGGAGGAAAAUCAUUGUUCGAGAGCUUACUGAGAAAGACAUCCGUCGCUACAUGCCCUCUCAGAUGGGAGUUGGGAACAUGGGUGGUGGAGGAAUGGGAGGAGGAGGAGGAGGAAUACUGGGAGGAGGAAUGGGAAUGGGUGGGGGUAUGGGAGGAGACAUGAUGGGAGCGGGAAAUGCUGUUAACCCCCAGUUGUUGCAGUCCCUUGGGAUCGAAGGUCCUGUUACCAACUCAGUAUUUGUUGCCAAUCUUGACUUCAGGGUGACAUGGAAGAAACUAAAAGAGAUAUUUCAGAUGGCUGGCAAUGUGGUCAGGGCAGAGAUCAAGGAGGAUAAGGACGGGAAAAGCCGCGGCAUGGGAACAGUGCAGUUUGAACUACCUUUUGAAGCAGUGCAGGCUAUUUCUAUGUUUAAUGGUCAAACUCUUUAUGACCGAGCUAUGACAGUUAGAAUGGAUAAAUUGAAUGAUUCCAUUCCUCCACAACAGCCAAGGCUGCCAAGUGGUUUGAAGGGCAUUGGUAUGGGUCUAGGCAUGGGAGGAGCUCCAAUACAUGGACAAGGGGGACAGAUGGGAAACAUGGGUAUGGGAGGAAUGGGAUCUGGAAUGGGAAGUGGAAUGGGCAACAUGGGUGGCAUGGGCAAUAUGGGCAUGGGAGGCGGCAUGGGCAACAUGGGCGGAGGAAACAUGGGCAUGGGCUCUGGGAUGGGCAAUAUGGGAGGAAUGGGGGGUGGUAUGAGUAACAUGGGAGGCGGAGGCAUGGGCAACAUGGGAGGUGGCAUGGGGAGCGGCAUGGGCAUGUCUGGAGGUAUGGGGGGUAUGGGGAUGAGCAACAUGGGCAUGGGCAGUGGGAUGGGGGGUAACAUGAACAACAUGGGGAUGGGAGGUGAUAUAGGUGGAAUGGGCAACAUGGGCAGUGGCAUGGGUGGUCUGUCAGACAUGAUUGGAAUGGGUGGUGGGUCCAGUGGGUUAGGAGACAGCAUGGGCUCUGUGAUGUCAGGCAUGGGUGGAUCCGGCAGUUACAUGGGCAGCAGUGGGCUUGGGGACAGUGGACGUUAUGGCAGCAGAGAUGGUGGACGGCGUGACCGUAGUCGUGACAGAGACCGUGGGGACAGAAGAGGCGACAGAGGCCGAGAUUAUGGACGAGAUCGAGAUGGAAGAGGAGAUGGAGGGAGCAGGGUGAGAGCUGGACAGGAAGGAUGUUCAGUUAUUGUCAGAAAUCUGCCUUUUAGCGUUGACUGGCAACAGUUGAAAGAAAGAUUCAGAGAUGUUGGUGAUGUCAAGUUUGCAGAGAUCAAGAUGGACAACGGCAAGUCCAAGGGCUGGGGUACAGUCCGCUUCAACUCGCCCACAGACGCUUCGAGGGCAGUCAAUUUGAUGGAUGGAGCCCUUGUUGAAGGACGUGAAAUCUCGGUCCAAGUCUAUGUUUAAGAUGGAAAGCAAGUAAGGAUGAUAACAGCUGAUAAACCAUUGGUUUAAAAUUCACAUACUCUGCAGUGCCGAAAUUGCAGUUUCCAGACCAAGAAAUGGAGAUGAAAUAACAUGACUGUUGUAAAAGAGACGUGAAAGGUUUCAAAAUUAGAUUCUCUUCCUGGUUGGCAACAUAAGAUCCUGACAUGGUGUGUCUUACAUUCAUGCAAAUCACUUGUGAAUAAAUGUUAAUGAGCCUUCGGGGUACUGGUAUGACGAUGUGAUAGAAGAUGAGGUCCUCCAGCUCCUGUUUAUUCCACUGUGCCCAGGAAUGGACUGAAACGAGAUGCUAAAGUGCGAAAUUGGGAUGAAAAAAAAAAUCAAAUUUCAUCCCUCCUUGUUGAUAUCUGAAUAAACUGUAUGUGACUGGUGCACCUAACUUCAUUGUGUUCCAUUUCUUAUGCUACAGCCAGAUUCUGUUAGUUAUAACAAUGGUUUAGAUAUAAAAGUAUGGCUGCAUAGCAGGCACUAUUGCUAGAUGCUAAGGAAAGAUUAGAAGAGGAAUAAAACCCAAACCUCAAUGGGACCAACAAAUGAAAGUUAACAUUAUUAUUGCAUUGUUUUGUACACCACAAUUUUGUAAUGAACAAACGCAUUUAUGAUAAAGUUUGAAGUUAAAAGGCAUAAUAUCAAUUCCAUACCAUGUAUCCGAAAUCGUAUGUACAAUUUAAAUAAAUUUAUUAAAUUUUAAAUAGGUGUAUUACACUGCUCACUCUGUAUCACUCACAAGUAUGAUCAAAUCUAACAUGAGCACCUAAAUAUAUUUCACUGGUAAGAAAUAGUCUUGACACAAGAAUCUGUUAUUAUUUGCUUAGCACAUACGCAAUUAACAAAAAUGUAUUGCUUCUUAAAAGUAAUUUGCUUCUCAAAAAGACUGGACAUGUUAAGGCAUGAUUUACCAGCCCAGUCCUUUCUCAGGGGAUCUUAAUCACAUCAAUAGGAGCUCCAAAAAUUCCUCUUCACACUAAGGAAUGACAAACCUAUCUCACUGUGUCAUGAAUUUGUGUACCUGCAAUCCUCAAAAACAUUUUUUAAAAGGUCAGCAAAGAAAACAACCUGGUGCAUGAGCACAAAAAUAACAACAUCUCAAAUUCUUAAAUAUAAAAGGGGUUGGUUACCUUAAAAAUUUAAUGUAUAAAUAUG